Micropterus dolomieu (smallmouth bass) is the source of this 751-nucleotide long non-coding RNA. RefSeq lists it as uncharacterized. The transcript has 4 exons. NCBI's taxonomy places the organism in Eukaryota, Metazoa, Chordata, Actinopteri, Centrarchiformes, Centrarchidae. The record is from RefSeq and is a predicted model, not a curated record.
UUUCAACCCAGUGUUUUAAUAGUUGAACAAGUUUUUUUCUUACUAUCCUUCAUCCACUCAAUCAUAGCUCUGCUGGGAUUAACAGUUAUUUAAUAUUGUUUUCUUGGUGCGCUGACCUUCUACCAGAAGUUUUGGACAGUCUGACGAAGCCAGGGAGUGUGGAGGUACAGGUGUUGCUUUUGGCAACACCAAAGUUUUUUAGUCAUAAAGUUCAGGGGAAUAAGUGGCCUUUCACUGUUUUUACACCCACCUCGGCUUCCCUUUUGUCUCAGAGGGCAGACUUCACUGAGAAAUAAGCAGUUGAGAGCAGAGGAGUAGAAGCUACACUCAGCUAGUUCAGUAGCUAAAGUGUGUGAUCAUGGAGAUGGAUGUCAGGGCAUGUGAAUUGAGAGGACUUCUACUGCAUGGUGGCUCCAUCCCACUGUGCCAUUAGCCGCUCCCCAGGGAGAGAAAGGCUUGGAAUCUGGAGAGACAGGCCCAGAUUAGCUCAUAAAUCACUGCCCUGGGGACUGAGGCAAAACUGUGACAUCAUCACUCUGAGACCUUCUGUCCUGUGAUCCAGCUGACGGUGCAGUCCAGCAACUGUCGCUUUCAGCUGAUAUGAGUUGACAGCAGACUGUGGUACAACACAUUCCUCCCAAAACUGCCAGGGUUAUUUUACAUCUGUAUCACUUUAGUAGGUUUGUCAUUUCAGUGACUUAAUCUGUUUAUUUUGUCUAUGAAAUGGCAACGUUUAUUUUUCCAUGUAGAA